GACGAACGCUGGCGGCGUGCUUAACACAUGCAAGUCGAACGGAAAGGCCCUGCUUUUGUGGGGUGCUCGAGUGGCGAACGGGUGAGUAACACGUGAGUAACCUGCCCUUGACUUUGGGAUAACUUCAGGAAACUGGGGCUAAUACCGGAUAGGAGCUCCUGCUGCAUGGUGGGGGUUGAAAGUUUCGGCGGUUGGGGAUGGACUCGCGGCUUAUCAGCUUGUUGGUGGGGUAGUGGCUUACCAAGGCUUUGACGGGUAGCCGGCCUGAGAGGGUGACCGGCCACAUUGGGACUGAGAUACGGCCCAGACUCCUACGGGAGGCAGCAGUGGGGAAUAUUGCACAAUGGGCGGAAGCCUGAGGCAGCAACGCCGCGUGCGGGAUGACGGCCUUCGGGUUGUAAACCGCUUUCGCCUGUGACGAAGCGUGAGUGACGGUAAUGGGUAAAGAAGCACCGGCUAACUACGUG
This 467-nucleotide ribosomal RNA is filed under the name uncultured bacterium. Its description in RNAcentral is "partial 16S ribosomal RNA". It matches the Rfam family "Bacterial small subunit ribosomal RNA", at positions 28 to 507 of the family's 1533-position model. The record is from RNAcentral.